Rosa chinensis is the source of this 788-nucleotide long non-coding RNA. RefSeq lists it as uncharacterized. NCBI's taxonomy places the organism in Eukaryota, Viridiplantae, Streptophyta, Magnoliopsida, Rosales, Rosaceae. The record is from RefSeq and is a predicted model, not a curated record. The transcript has 2 exons.
GGCUGGGCUUUUGAUCCACCAAAAAAUAAAAAUAAGGCAUGCUUUUAAUUAACUAAAGCAUAAUAAUUACACAAGAUAUUGGAACUGCAAGUUAAGAUCAAGAAGCGCGACGAGUGCGGGAGGCAUAGAGACGAGGCCUUGCGUGAGAAGGAACAAAUUUCCAGAGCCAAUGAUCGAGAUGGUCGCAGCGAAAUUGGCCGAAUUGCAAAUAGAACAGAAGACGAGGCUUUGCAGUAGAAGGAUGAGAUGAAGAAUCAAUUGGACGACUUCGUUCUGGAGAAGGAUAGGGGAUUGCCAGAGGUUGAAUAAGUAUAUGGGGGUUGUCGGCGGUGGCUUAUGGGUUACAAAAGAGGACGAAUGAGAUUGUGGAAGUUAGAUAAAUUGAAGCCACUACCAAGUCUAGGAACGAAACUAGGGAGCAGAUGGAUCAGAGGAACUAUGAGAUUUCGCAGUUGGAUGUCCAUUCCUUAUGUGCAAGGAAUUGCCAUGGAAGGUCAGCCACUGGCCUGCAAGACCUCCCUAAUUGAGUGGGAAGGACCUAUGGAGACCACAUAUCUUCAAGAAGAAAUCGAUGAAGUCCGUGAUGAGUGGGCAGAAUUCGUUAGACUCCUCAGUUUUAUGGUUUAACUACAUACCUAGUGAAACUUCUUUAAUUUGUUGCAAAAUUUACCUUUUCCUCUAUAUGAGAGCUAAAUACGUUUAUGACAGCUAGUACUAUUUACGUUUCUUUUACUUUUGUAAACUUCACUAAAAAAAAUUCAACUGAGAAAGCAUAGUAAAUGUGAUUA